UGAGUACGAGAUGCUACGGCAUCGAAGCAGUCUAUGUCAUACUUCCAAGAAAAGCUUGCACUGUCAUAAACAAAGAAUGCCUGUACCAUAACCGACACAGGUGGGUAGGUAGAGUAUACUAAGGGGCGCGAGAUAACUCUCUCUAAGGAACUCGGCAAAAUGACUCCGUAACUUCGGGAGAAGGAGUGCCUUAUUUCUAAGGUUGCAAUAACAAGAUCCAAGCAACUGUUUACCAAAAACACAGGUCUCCGCUAAGUCGUAAGACGAUGUAUGGGGGCUGACGCCUGCCCAGUGCCAGAAGGUUAAAGAAGUUGGUUAGCAUUAGCGAAGCUGAUAACUGAAGCCCUGGUGAACGGCGGCCGUAACUAUAACGGUCCUAAGGUAGCGAAAUUCCUUGUCGGGUAAGUUCCGACCCGCACGAAAGGCGUAAUGAUUUGGAUACUGUCUCGGAGAGGGGCUCGGUGAAAUAGACUUGUCUGUGAAGAUGCGGACUACCUGCACCUGGACAGAAAGACCCUAUGAAGCUUUACUGUAACUUGAGAUUGAAAUUGGACUUUAUUUGCGCAGUAUAGGUGGGAGGCGUUGAGAGUAAUCUUGCGGGAUUGUUGGAGCCAUCAGUGAGAUACCACUCUUGUAAUGUUAGAUUUCUAACUUUGUAUCAUUAUCUGGUCAAAGAACAGUUUCAGGCGGGCAGUUUGACUGGGGCGGUCGCCUCCCAGAGGGUAACGGAGGCGCACAAAGGUUUCCUCUGAACGGGUAGAAAUCGUAUCUAGAGUGUAAAGGCAUAAGGAAGCUUGACUGUGAGACCUACAAGUCGAGCAUGGACGAAAGUCGGUCUUAGUGAUCUGACGGUGCUGAGUAGAAAGGCCGUCACUCAACGGAUAAAAGUUACUCUAGGAUAACAGGCUGAUCUCCCCCAAGAGUUCACAUCGACGGGGAGGUUUGGCACCUCGAUGUCGGCUCAUCGCGUCCUGGGGCGGUAGUCCGUCCCAAGGGUUGGGCUGUUCGCCCAUGAAAGCGGUACGCGAGCUGGGUUCAGAACGUCGUGAGACAGUUCGGUCCAUAUCCGGUGUAGGCGUUAGAAUAUUGAGAGGAGCCUUCUCUAGUACGAGAGGACCGAGAAGGACAUACCUCUGGUGUACCAGUUAUCGUGCCAACGGUAAACGCUGGGUAGCUAUGUAUGGAGUGGAUAACCGCUGAAAGCAUCUAAGUGGGAAGCCCACCUCAAGAUAAGUAUUCUCAUC
Molecule: ribosomal RNA, 1244 nt
Filed under: metagenome
Description: bacterial LSU rRNA
Rfam family: Bacterial large subunit ribosomal RNA
Source: RNAcentral